This 253-nucleotide ribosomal RNA is filed under the name uncultured bacterium. Its description in RNAcentral is "partial 16S ribosomal RNA". It matches the Rfam family "Bacterial small subunit ribosomal RNA", at positions 524 to 776 of the family's 1533-position model. The record is from RNAcentral.
UACGAAGGGGGCUAGCGUUGCUCGGAAUGACUGGGCGUAAAGGGCGCGUAGGCGGUUUGUACAGUCAGAUGUGAAAUUCCUGGGCUUAACCUGGGGGCUGCAUUUGAUACGUGCAGACUUGAGUGAGGAAGAGGGUUGUGGAAUUCCCAGUGUAGAGAUGAAAUUCGUAGAUAUUCGCAAGAACACCAGUGGCGAAGGCGGCUCACUGGCUCGGUACUGACGCUGAGGUGCGAAAGCGUGGGGAGCAAACAGG